GUAUAUUAUCAUGAUAAAUGCAGGAAAAAUAAUAAUAUUAUACGGCCUGAAAAUUCAAUUUCAGAUAGCACUAUGCAGUCUGAAAAAUUAAGUUCAGACAGCAACAAACAAGAAAAUAGAAUGCAGUCUGGAAAUUCAGACAGCAACAAACAAGAAAAUAGUACGAAAAAGUACUAUCAUUGCUCAAGGUAAAAAUUUGUAAGGUAGGUUUAUUUUAAUUAUUUUGGUUUUAAUGUAUGAAAUUAAAUUUUUAAGAGGUUUUCUAAACUUAACAUCAUGUUUUUGAAUAUGAUUUUUUUGACCUCAUAGUUGAAGACUUAAUAGAUUCAUCACAUGUGGAAAUUGAUUUGUACAAGGGAAGUAUCUAAUGUUCUUCAGAAUUUACGUUUUUCGGUAAUCCAUUCAUUAUAACUAAACUUCCAAACAUUUAGGAAUUAAAAUUGUAACAGAGAUAAUGUGGUCUAUGCCCUGAAAUUUCUUGCCCUGAAAUUCAGUGAAUGACAUACUACUUUUAUUUGAAACUGAUUGAACAAAUUAUUCACAGUCUUCUCUAAGAGUCCAAGUCUGUUGACUAUGAUCCAAGAGUCCACAGUCUGAUUGAACAAUGGAUUUUCUAAACCAUAUACACUCCAGAGAGAGGUCUUUUUUUGUUUUUAAUGUCAACCCUCUAUCUAAUUAAUAAUCAUGCCCUUAAUUAUCAAUUGGACUAGAGGUGAUGAAACAGUUGAUCUAAUGCGCUAUUUGCUAGGAUAUGUCUAUAACUAAUUUUUUUCCCCAAGAGCUUAUACUAGGGCCACAAAGGUUUUUGAAGAAUCUGUCCACAAAGGUUUUCAGCAAUCCCCAUUGCCAUCUGGAAAAAACAUUGAAAUGAAAAGAGGAGAUUGGACUUGUUCAAAGUAAGUCUAAAUUUUUUUCCUAAUUUUCUCACGCGAUUUAAAAAAAUAUGAUGACAAGAUCUUAUAUGCCUUUGCACAUAUAAAACUUCAACCAUUAGACUGAUUUUGAUGAAAAUAGAAACAAAGAAUUUUUUUAGGGAUUCAACAUAUUUUUUAGGGAUUAAACAAAUCGUGGACAAACAAAUGAACAAAUCGUGGAUUUAACAGAUCUAUUUUUGUCCCAAACCAAACUAAAAGAAAAUAAGAAUAGAAUACACAUUACCGUGUAGGAUGGGAGUGCCGGAGUGGAGAUCGGUUUGUGAAGUGCAGGGAUUUAGAAAGAAAUAUCGCUGCCGAGAUUAGGGAUUUAACGUCGCCGCUGCCGCUAGAAUUCGACGUGAAAAAGAAAUAUCUGCCGGAAAAAAUCUAAUGGUUUCUUUUUUCAGAAAUGAAGUAUUUCACCCAAAAGUAAAUGAAGCUAUCACAUGUUCUCAGAAAUGAAGUAUUUCACCCAAUUUUCUACAACUAUUCUUCCAUCCAAGAUUGGAAGAAUAGUUUAUGAACAAAUCAUUCAAGAUGAUAUAUAUAAAAACAAAAGAAGAAUAACUAAAAUUCAAAAUUCAAAUAAACAAAAAAAUAUGAAACAGGCCAACACAAGACCUGGUCUUGAAUCAGAAUCAAAUAAAAAUUCAGAGACACAUAAAAAAACCAAAACAGGAAUAAAUAGAAAAUUAUUGGCUAUAACUGAAGAUAAUCAGGCCAAUAACAAUUCAGAUCAUGAUAGAAACUAUUCUGAAGAAAGAAUUCCAGAAAUAGAAGAAAUAAGUCAAAUAAAUGAAAAUAAUAAUUUUCAAGAAAAUAAAACAUCCUCUGAAGAUAGAAGAACAUUAGAAAGAGGAAAAUUCACUAAAAAAAAAACAAAAGAACUAACCCUAGACAAGAUAACCAAAACAGUCAAGAGACUGGUCCAGGGGAUACCUCAGGGAAAGACCAAGAAAGGACUGCCUCACCUGAUUUUGAAAAAAAUUCAGAAACAGUAGGAAACAUGCAUAAAAAUAGAUCAAACCAAAGUCAAAACAUUCAAAAUAACUCAAGAAAUCAGAAUUGUGAAAACAAUUCACAUUUGACAGGUCACAAACAUAAUAAGUCACAUAAUUUUGAGAAAAAUUCAGUGAUAGCAGGUAAUACUAAUAAUCUGCAUAAAAACAUACAAAACCAAGUCCAAAACUCUGAAAAUAACUCAAAAACUCAAGACUAUGAAAGCAAAUCAUCUUCCACAGGUCAUGGAUAUGAUAAAUCACAGAGUUUUGAGCAAAAUUCGACAAUAGCAGGCAAGAUUAAUAACCUGCAUAGAAAUAUACAAAGCAAAACUCAAAAUUCUGAAAAUAAUGCAGGUUUUGUAGGUCAUGAACAAAAUCAAUCAAAUGAUUCAAUGACUGUUUCAAAUAUUGAUAAAAAUAAUUCAGAAAUACUAGAAUGGAAUGGACUAGAGGUGAUGAUCCCAGUAUUAUCUCAGGGAUCCCAGUAUUAUCCAAAAAUUGGUGGUAUUGCAGAAGAUUAUUCAUGCCCUUAAUUAUCAAUUAAUCAUGCCCUUAAUUAUCAAUUGGACUAGAGGUGAUGAACUUACCUGGAAGAUGCUUGACGGCGGACAGGAGUGAACAAGAAGUUGUACGUUCGUCGGAAGAAUGGAGUGACCGAUGGUCCGAUGGAACUAGCCGCUGGUCGUCGCCGGACUGGAGUGUUUACUAGCCUCUGGUCGUCGCUCGCCGGUAUAGAUGCGCCGCUGGUUGCUCGUCAGAAAUCGAAGUAAGAAUCGCCGGAGAUGGGAGUGGGAGAAAAACAAGAUCGCCGGAGGGAAAUCGAUUUGGGUUUUGGGGGUUUUGGGGGGAAAUCGAUUUGGGGGAAAUAAUAUUAUUGGGAAAUUUAUAAUUUGGGAAAUAAUAUAUACUUAAUUUAAAUAAAUUUAUACUUUUGGGAAAUAACUAUAAAAUAAAAUUUAAAAUCUUUUGGGAAAUAACUUUAAAAUGAUAUUACAAUUUAACUUAGUUUAAAAUUUAAAAUUUAAUAUUACAA
This 2948-nucleotide long non-coding RNA is filed under the name Zostera marina. RNAcentral's name for it is "long non-coding RNA (ZMAR_LNC005784)". Lineage: Eukaryota; Viridiplantae; Streptophyta; Magnoliopsida; Alismatales; Zosteraceae. The record is from RNAcentral.